Molecule: ribosomal RNA, 521 nt
Filed under: Limosilactobacillus fermentum
Lineage: Bacteria; Bacillati; Bacillota; Bacilli; Lactobacillales; Lactobacillaceae
Description: bacterial SSU rRNA
Rfam family: Bacterial small subunit ribosomal RNA
Source: RNAcentral
GCACAGCAGGGAAUGUUCCACACUCAGCGCAAGCCUGAUGGAGCAACACCGCGUGAGUAAGAAGGGUUUCGGCUGGUAAAGCUCUGCUGUUAAAGAAGAACACGUAUGUAAUAACUGUUCACAGUUGACGGUGACAACCAGAAAGUCACGGCUAAAUACGUGCCAGCACCCCCGGUAAAACGUAUGUGGCAAGCGUUAUCCGGAUUUAUUGUGGGUAAAGAGAGGGCAGGCGGUUUUGUAAGUUUGAUGUGAAAGCCUUUGGGUUCACCGGAGAAGUGCAUCGGAAACUGGAUAACUUGAGUGCAGAAGAGGGUAGUGGAACUCCCUGUGUAGCGGUGGAAUGCGUUGAUAUAUGGAAGAACACCCAGGGGGAAGGCGGGUACCUGUUCUGCAAGGAUUCGGGAGACUGGAAAGCAUGGGUAGCGAACAGGAUUAGAUACCCUUGUAGUCCAACCGUAAACGAUGACUGCUAGGUGGGGAGGGUUUCCGCCCUUCAGUGCCGGAGCUUACGCGAUUAAGCA